CGAGCGGAUUUAAAAGNUUGCUUUUAAAGUUAGCGGCGGACGGGUNGAGUAACACGUGGGCAACYCGCYGUAAGAUGGGAUAAYUCGGGAAACCGGAGCUAAUAGCCGGAUAAUUCUUUUCUCUCAUGAGGAAAAGCUGAAAGACGGUUUACGCUGUCACUUACAGAUGGGCCCGCGGCGCAUUAGCUAGUUGGUGAGGUAACGGCUCACCAAGGCGACGAUGCGUAGCCGACCUGAGAGGGUGAUCGGCCACACUGGGACUGAGACACGGCCCAGACUCCCUACGGGAGGCAGCAGUAGGGAAUCUUCCCGCAAUGGGACGAAAGUCUGACGGAGCAACGCCGCGUGAGUGAUAGAAGGUUUUNCGGAUNCGUAAAACUCUGUUGUUAGGGAAGAACAAGUACAAGAGUAACUGCUUGUACCUUGACGGUACCUAACCAGAAAGCCACGGCUAACUACGUGCCAGCAGCCGCGGUAAUACGUAGGUGGCAAGCGUUGUCCGGAUUAUUGGGCGUAAAGCGCGCGCAGGCGGU
Molecule: ribosomal RNA, 533 nt
Filed under: Niallia circulans
Lineage: Bacteria; Bacillati; Bacillota; Bacilli; Caryophanales; Bacillaceae
Description: bacterial SSU rRNA
Rfam family: Bacterial small subunit ribosomal RNA
Source: RNAcentral